UAAUUGAAGAGUUUGAUCAUGGCUCAGAUUGAACGCUGGCGGCAGGCCUAACACAUGCAAGUCGAGCGGAAACGACAACACUGAAUCUUUGGAGGAUGGGUUGGGUGUCGAGCGGCGGACGGGUGAGUAAUGCCUAGGAAGUUGCCCAAUAGAGGGGGAUAACCAUUGGAAACGAUGGCUAAUACCGCAUAAUCUCCUUGGAGCAAAGCAGGGGACCGAAUGGCCUUGCGCUAUUGGAUAUGCCUAGGUGAGAUUAGCUUGUUGGUGAGGUAAUGGCUCACCAAGGCGACGAUCUCUAGCUGGUCUGAGAGGAUGAACAGCCACACUGGAACUGAGACACGGUCCAGACUCCUACGGGAGGCAGCAGUGGGGAAUAUUGCACAAUGGGCGGAAGCCUGAUGCAGCCAUGUCGCGUGUGUGAAGAAGGCCUUAGGGUUGUAAAGCACUUUCAACAGUAAGGAAGGAUGUAUGCUUAAUACGUAUAUAUUUUGACGUUAGCUGUAGAAGAAGCACCGGCUAACUCCGUGCCAGCAGCCGCGGUAAUACGGAGGGUGCGAGCGUUAAUCGGAAUUACUGGGCGUAAAGCGCAUGCAGGUGGUUCGAUAAGUCAGAUGUGAAAGCCCGGGGCUUAACCUCGGAACUGCAUUUGAAACUAUAGAGCUGGAGUACUGUAGAGGGGGGUGGAAUUUCAGGUGUAGCGGUGAAAUGCGUAGAGAUCUGAAGGAAUACCGGUGGCGAAGGCGGCCCCCUGGACAGAUACUGACACUCAGAUGCGAAAGCGUGGGGAGCAAACAGGAUUAGAUACCCUGGUAGUCCACGCUGUAAACGAUGUCUACUUGGAGGUUGUGGCUUUGAGCUGUGGCUUUCGUAGCUAACGCGUUAAGUAGACCGCCUGGGGAGUACGGUCGCAAGAUUAAAACUCAAAUGAAUUGACGGGGGCCCGCACAAGCGGUGGAGCAUGUGGUUUAAUUCGAUGCAACGCGAAGAACCUUACCUACUUUUGACAUCCAAAGAAGCCAGUGGAGACAUUGGUGUGCCUUCGGGAACUUUGAGACAGGUGCUGCAUGGCUGUCGUCAGCUCGUGUUGUGAAAUGUUGGGUUAAGUCCCGCAACGAGCGCAACCCUUAUCCUUGUUUGCCAGCGAGUAGUGUCGGGAACUUCAGGGAGACUGCCGGUGAUAAACCGGAGGAAGGUGGGGACGACGUCAAGUCAUCAUGGCCCUUACAAGUAGGGCUACACACGUGCUACAAUGGCACAUACAGAGGGUUGCAAACUAGCGAUGGUAAGCGAAUCCCAAAAAGUGUGUCGUAGUCCGGAUUGGAGUCUGCAACUCGACUCCAUGAAGUCGGAAUCGCUAGUAAUCGUAGAUCAGAACGCUACGGUGAAUACGUUCCCGGGCCUUGUACACACCGCCCGUCACACCAUGGGAGUGGGCUGCAAAAGAAGUGGGUAGUUUAACUUUCGAGAGGACGCUCACCACUUUGUGGUUCAUGACUGGGGUGAAGUCGUAACAAGGUAGCCCUAGGGGAACCUGGGGCUGGAUCACCUCCUUA
Candidatus Photodesmus is the source of this 1553-nucleotide ribosomal RNA. It matches the Rfam family "Bacterial small subunit ribosomal RNA". NCBI's taxonomy places the organism in Bacteria, Pseudomonadati, Pseudomonadota, Gammaproteobacteria, Vibrionales, Vibrionaceae. The record is from Rfam.